Molecule: ribosomal RNA, 605 nt
Filed under: uncultured fungus
Lineage: Eukaryota; Fungi
Description: eukaryotic LSU rRNA
Rfam family: 5.8S ribosomal RNA (bases 57-210)
Source: RNAcentral
UACACAUACACUUUAUUAUUAUUGAAAUGUUCAAACGCUUAACAGCAUUUAAAUACAACUUUUAACAACGGAUCUCUUGGCUCUCGCAUCGAUGAAGAACGCAGCGAAAUGCGAUAAGUAAUGUGAAUUGCAGAAUUCAGUGAAUCAUCGAAUCUUUGAACGCACCUUGCGCUCCCUGGUAUUCCGGGGAGCACGCCUGUUCGAGCGUCAUGAAGCUCUCAAACAUGUUCUUUUCUUAACUGAGAGGUUGUGUGUUUGGAUUUGGACUCUGCCGUGUAACAAACGGCUGGUCCGAAAGAUAUUAGCUGAUCCUAGCGAGGCUUGGUUCUACUCGGCGUGAUAAUUAUCUAACGUCGAGGACAUCGCAAGAUGGCCAAACUGAAACUUUAUGGGUUGCUUCUAAUCGUCUUCAUCGACAAACUUUUAAUCAAUCUGACCUCGAAUCAGGCGGGACUACCCGCUGAACUUAAGCAUAUCAAUAAGCGGAGGAAAAGAAACUAACAAGGAUUCCCCUAGUAACGGCGAGUGAAGCGGGAUGAGCUCAAAUUUAAAAUCUGGUGUCCUUUGGGCAUCCGAGUUGUAGUCUAGAGAAGCGUCUUCCGCGC